GAAAGGUCUUAGCACCAUGGGUGGAGUCUCACUCUCCCCACAGGUGGCAAAUAUGCAGCACCUUCAUGAUGUCUGUGCAAGUUCCUUACCAGACACACACACUCAAAUCACAUGGAAAGCGGUGAGCUGGUUGCUCCUGUCCACACUUUUGCACUUCAGAGGGGAGAGACCUGCUGAAUGCAGCAUAGAGCAUACCCUGAAUUGUCUUCUUCCUCCCUCCUGCAGCAAAACUGCCAAGUCUGUGCUGGCUUGCAUCUAGAAGAUCAAUGAGGAAGGAUAUUUUACAGAGGUGUUAAAGAAAAGGAUAUAAAAAGGAUACUGAAGGUAAAGAAGACAUCAAGACAAUUUUGUACCAGAGGUGAAGCAUCAUGAGCAAUUCCAUGUGGACCAACUGUACACUAAAAGAAAUGAGGAAAUAAAAGAGAACUGAGAGUACUAGCCAUGAAAUCAUGGAGUAGGAGGAGCAUUCAAUAAGAUGGAUGUGGAUAUGCCACACAACUCCAGUUCCAGAGACAUGGAUAGUUUUUGGAGUCUUCCUUCUCUGUGUGUAUGGCUGAAACUGCUAAAUACAAGAGACAAGAAACAGAGUUCAGUGAAGCAGUACUCAGCUUUGUGUGGUAAUAUGAGGGCCAUGCUGAAGCAAUGCAAACUGAAUACAGCAACUUUGGAGAUUAAUGUUCCUGGACCAGAAGGGACACCAGCAGUGUGUUACUAUCUGGCAGAUCUACAGCAUAGUACAUGGAGAUGCUACCAGCCCCACCCAAAAUUACAUGUUAUGUAACCAAGUGAGAUGCAUUAAGAUCAUCUCCAACAUCGCCAUCUCCUGACUUUGAAUGAUAGUGCAUGUUGCUUCUGUGACAAUUGGUAUUCAAGAAAUGAAAAAAUGGCACUCAAGAUUUCUGUUCUGAAUUAAAAAAAAUAAUAAUAAUCAAUUUUGCACUGAAUUUUUCUUCUUUGUAUUCUGAAAUGUUUUGUAGCUGAUUAUCAAAUAAUUUAUCUUUGAUUUUGUAGUUAUUGUUUGCGUAAGACCCCAUUAACUCUUACAGGGUAGGUGGGCAACUGAAAACGUCAGCAUAUAUAGAAGAAAUUCAAGAACUUCAAGCACUGUAAGCUGUAGAGAGAGUUCCAAGUAACUCUUCAGCAACCUCUGCAAAGUUCCUCUCUUCUGGAAAAUGAAUACUAACCCAGGACAAGAGAAGACUGACGCCUGAUCAAGCCGUGGAAAUCUCCCUGAUGACUUCACUGGGCUCUUGCAUGUACAUAUAGAGCAGUCAUCUCCAUCCACUUACAGUCCUGCACUGAUGAUGUUCACUUGAACUGUGAAAUGGUUAGCAUUUAAAAGUUGUCCCUUCUACGUGAAUCCUGCUGUGCCUCACGUUUUAUAAUGCCGAGUGUUGUUAAAUGUUUGAGCAAUAUUGCAAUUGUUUCUAUUUGUUGAAUUUAUAUGAAAGCUAUUAUCUGUGACUUGUUAUUAUGCUAUGUGAAGAGAUUCCAACCCUUUUUUCUCCCCUCUAAUCCGUACCACCAAUAAGAAAAGGAACAUAAAUAAAUAAAUAC
This is a long non-coding RNA of Gallus gallus (chicken), 1557 nucleotides long. RefSeq lists it as uncharacterized. The record is from RefSeq and is a predicted model, not a curated record. The transcript is spliced from 4 exons. NCBI's taxonomy places the organism in Eukaryota, Metazoa, Chordata, Aves, Galliformes, Phasianidae.